GGAACCCGGGCGCCUGCGUUUGGCGUCACUUCCGCUCUGCUUGGCGACAUCUUGCUGGAGGGCGGAAGUGCUGCUGAGGAGACGCCGAAAUGGCUCCGCCGGGGCGGCGGGACCCGCGGCCGCUGUGUCGCCUGGUGCUGGCAGCCGUUGUGCUGCUCUCCUGGGGCUUCGUUCUCUACGGGGCACGGGUGGCCGCCCAGCGGCAGCUGGAGAGCGGGCUCCCGGCGCAGGGGCUGCCCUAGGAGCGGCUGGGCCUGGUCUGCGGGUCUGGAGGAGCCAUCGGGGGAGCCCUGUGGCCAGUUCGGUGGACAAAGCAUAAAUAGCUCUUAAGAAAGUAAAUAAAGCAGAAGCAGUUACUAAGAAAGAGAAGAA
Columba livia (rock pigeon) is the source of this 372-nucleotide long non-coding RNA. RefSeq lists it as uncharacterized. The transcript has 2 exons. The record is from RefSeq and is a predicted model, not a curated record. NCBI's taxonomy places the organism in Eukaryota, Metazoa, Chordata, Aves, Columbiformes, Columbidae.